RNAcentral lists this long non-coding RNA (738 nucleotides) under Homo sapiens (human). Its description in RNAcentral is "non-protein coding lnc-CDH8-10:9". Lineage: Eukaryota; Metazoa; Chordata; Mammalia; Primates; Hominidae. The record is from RNAcentral.
AGACAUCUGGGCUGCUAGCUGCAUGAAGGAGCUACCCGCUGUGGGUCUCCUCUUUGCUGACAGCUGGACACUUGACAGAAUGACCUGCCUGAACUCGGGACCUGCAGAAUGAUGGGACUGAAGAAGCUGUAACACAAACAGGGCUAAAACACGCACUCUCCUCCCCCUGCUCCCCACCGCCCCACCCACUUGCCACAUUGGAGGUGAUGAGAAGGAGAGAAGAGCUGUGGCCUUUCAGGGAGCAUAGUCCCAGGGGCUCCCUGAGCCAGGGCUGUGAAACCCUCUUCCGGGCACUGCAGUUCCUGGCAUCUCCAAACUUCUGAGUGCCACCGCAUUCCCCGCGUCCGGAUGCAGGUCAAUGCACAGAAAGAAAUCUCUCUCCUGACUUUAGUACAAUGGCACGAUUGGUGGCCACAGUCCAAGGAUGGUUGCUGGGGCACCAAGAGAUUUCUGACAAAGGGCAUUAAAACUGAGAAAGUUUGGGAACCUCUGAAUGCUGUAGGACUUGCAUUUACGUUCUAACUGAGCUUGUUGGACACUGAAAUGGAGGAAGAAUCACAAGCCAUUUUCAAACCUAUACCCUACAUCGUGGCAGAAUAGAUUAUCCAAGAGAAGGUCAGGAUAGAGUGCAGCAAUGAUCGGAAGUGGUGUCUUCAAUAAGAUGGGACUGGAUAUAGAUGGGAAGAAGCACAAUGGAAAGAAGAAUAUUCCAGAUCUUACAAAUGUGGAAAGCACUCA